GGAGAGGUGGCCGAGAGGCUGAAGGCGGCGGUUUGCUAAACCGUUAUACGACCAAAAGUCGUAUCGAGGGUUCGAAUCCCUCCCUCUCCG
This 90-nucleotide transfer RNA is filed under the name Ehrlichia sennetsu str. Miyayama. RNAcentral describes it as "tRNA-Ser (GCT) (tRNA-Ser-GCT-1-1)". It matches the Rfam family "tRNA". Rfam says of the family: Transfer RNA (tRNA) molecules are approximately 80 nucleotides in length. Their secondary structure includes four short double-helical elements and three loops (D, anti-codon, and T loops). RNAcentral also lists the same sequence under 2 other names. The record is from RNAcentral. Lineage: Bacteria; Pseudomonadati; Pseudomonadota; Alphaproteobacteria; Rickettsiales; Anaplasmataceae.